RNAcentral lists this ribosomal RNA (497 nucleotides) under uncultured bacterium. RNAcentral's name for it is "partial 16S ribosomal RNA". It matches the Rfam family "Bacterial small subunit ribosomal RNA", at positions 28 to 507 of the family's 1533-position model. The record is from RNAcentral.
GAUGAACGCUGGCGGCGUGCCUAAUACAUGCAAGUCGAGCGAACAGAUAAGGAGCUUGCUCCUUUGACGUUAGCGGCGGACGGGUGAGUAACACGUGGGUAACCUACCUAUAAGACUGGAAUAACUCCGGGAAACCGGGGCUAAUGCCGGAUAACAUUUAGAACCGCAUGGUUCUAAAGUGAAAGAUGGUUUUGCUAUCACUUAUAGAUGGACCCGCGCCGUAUUAGCUAGUUGGUAAGGUAACGGCUUACCAAGGCAACGAUACGUAGCCGACCUGAGAGGGUGAUCGGCCACACUGGAACUGAGACACGGUCCAGACUCCUACGGGAGGCAGCAGUAGGGAAUCUUCCGCAAUGGGCGAAAGCCUGACGGAGCAACGCCGCGUGAGUGAUGAAGGUCUUCGGAUCGUAAAACUCUGUUAUUAGGGAAGAACAAAUGUGUAAGUAACUGUGCACAUCUUGACGGUACCUAAUCAGAAAGCCACGGCUAACUACGUG